This 2474-nucleotide long non-coding RNA is filed under the name Mus musculus (house mouse). Its description in RNAcentral is "long non-coding RNA chr9:103120367-103122841". The record is from RNAcentral. Lineage: Eukaryota; Metazoa; Chordata; Mammalia; Rodentia; Muridae.
GGCCUCCUUGCCUUCCCACACUUGGUGUCUGAGCCUUUCCUAUAGAGAGUGGUGACCCCUGGAGGCCGGGACAGGGGAGGCCCAUGCUCAUGGAUUAGGAGACAAAGGCAGAGUGUGGCAUAUUUGAGGGUCCAAGUGACUGACCUGGGGUCAGACAGGGGGCAUUUGGGGAAGUGUAAGCCCAGCUUCUGCCUGGCUCUCUGGCCUACUCAGUUGGGUGGGUCUGUUCUCUCAGUUUGGUCUGCAGAGACAAGACUCAAGACAAUGAGAUGAAUGAGGGAGGGACUCCCAGCUUUCUCCAUACUGCCCUCAGAUGUCCUAGAACCAGCCCCUGGGAGCUCCCCCAUCUACACUGCCUCCACAGCAACCUGGGGUCCCUGGAUGCUUUGGCCUUGGUGACAUGGGUGUGACAGUCUGCAGCAGUCCUUCCAGACUUCCCUCUGCCCGUUGCUCUGGCAGAUGUGGCAUCUGAUGCAGUGACGAUCGGGCUCUGAUUAGCCUCCUGCCGUUCCUCCUCUUUUGGGGGCCCUUGCCACACACGUCCUUUGCCUUCUCCUGUGCUGCUUUCCUUUAAGGUUAGGAGAUUUGGUCGCACAGCGCAGAUGAAGAGAAAGUGCUGUUGUCUGCCUUGACGACUGAAACUUAAGCUUAAACUGGCUGCUCCAAAAGCCAAGGUGUUUGAGAGCCAGGGACCAGAGUGAGUGGAGGCAGAGGACUGCCACUCUUGAACCCACCCCUAGCUGAGAAAGAGCAGCCUAUUGGGAUCAAAUGAGAACAGGUUUUCAGAUGACCCAUGACCUCUGCUCUCUUCCCUUCCUGCCUCAGUAGUCUUCCAAUGCAACGGAGCACCGCCUGGUAUAGCUUUGGCAGCAUGGCUGUAGUUCUGAUUGGUUCAUUUACAAUGACAGCAUCUCAUAGUGACACUCGCCCCUUUAGCAGCACCAGAUCUAUCAUCUCUGUGGUCAGGGUGGGUGAGGACUCUUCUCUGUGCUGGUGUUCAGCAGGGGAAAGAGGGACAACUUUGGCCCCUUCCAGCCUCCCCUGCAGGUGUGGGAGCUGGAGACCCAUCCCUGGUUCUGGAAGAGAUUGCUGUAACUGUGACCAGCGCACUAAAGCCAAGUCCCAGGGGACAGUCAGAUAAGCUUCUGGCUCACUCUGAGAGUCCCAGUGAAACAUCCCACCUUGACCCUGUGGUGAGCAGGAAGUAGGUCAUAGGACAGAGCGGUGGAGCCAUUUAGGACACGUUUCUCAUUUUUUUCCCCUCCUGUCCAGUAUAGUGAGCAGCCCCGGAGGGAGCCACAGGUGUAGCCAGAGGGAAGAGAGACCACGGGUGUGCUGAGUCAGGGAGAGUGUGCUUCCUGCUUCCAGCACAGGCCAGGCUCUGCGGCCACACUAGGUGUGCCUUCAGGGCUUGCUGGCUUCCUGUGAGGCUUCCAGAGCCAAGAUGCUUGGUGGUUCUAACGAUGCUAUCCAUCCUGGGAUUCUGAACAAAGUCCGGUUAAAGACUGGAGGUUCUGUCAAACUGAUGCUGAUUCCUGGGCUUUGUAUGUUGUGACUGUGAAGGGCAAGAAGAGGAGUGGGGCAGCAAUGGAAAGGAGGACUCUGCCUGGUGCUCCCUGGAGCACCCCCACUGCCUGAGCACUCCCUGUGUGUGUUGCACCGUGGGGUGAUGCUAAGCCUCAUCUCUCCCUCCUCCAGGGGUCUGCGCUGCUGCCGCCGUGACCCUGCAGAUGUACACUUAUCUGGCCACUGUAAGAGAAUGCUUCCAAAUUGUUUUUAAACCCUCGGCAUAUCCUGUGUGAAGCCCUAGAACCUGUAAAGUUCUGAAUUCUGCCUCACUGGGUUCCCUUCCCCUUCUCUACACCCUACCAUAACACUGCAGGCCACUGCCCAGAUCACAAGGAGCAGGAGGCCUGACAAGGCACCUGGCCAGUCUCCCGUCCUGAACCUUUCCUAACCACAUCAGAAAAAUGCCAGAGCCCCACCUGUAGAGCCAGGAAAAGUCUGCUCUUCUCUAGCUCUGAGAACAGAAGAGAUGCUAGAGCUGGCAUCAUCUGGUGUCUUCUGGUUGGGGGGGGCGGGUAUGGCAUGGGGGUCUGGGCAGAGGGUGACCAGUGCCUGGACCAGUAGACCCUUCAGAGAAAUCCUCCAUUCUGCCUUCAUCCCAGCAGGCUGGGAGAAAUAUCUGCUGGUUAGGAGAACUUGUUCCAGGGGAUCAGUCCAGAUCACAGCAGUAGGAAGGGGAAGGGAACCACUUGGUAAGUGGAAGGCAGCCCGUUACUGUGAGCCCCAUGUUCUCAGAUGUCCUUCUCCUGAGUGCAGAUAGGACUUGGGACUUGCUGCUAGCCCGUACAGUAUGGCAAAGGUCGCGGGAGGUCACUCAUUUAAUUGUGUCAUUGGGAAAGGUAACAAGAUAUUUGUCCCUGGAUGGUUUCAUUUUAUUUAUUAAUUAAAAUUUACUCUCUAACAAUUCC